RNAcentral lists this ribosomal RNA (393 nucleotides) under uncultured bacterium. RNAcentral's name for it is "partial 16S ribosomal RNA". It matches the Rfam family "Bacterial small subunit ribosomal RNA", at positions 523 to 918 of the family's 1533-position model. The record is from RNAcentral.
AUACGGAGGAUCCAAGCGUUAUCCGGAUUUAUUGGGUUUAAAGGGAGCGUAGGUGGAUUGUUAAGUCAGUUGUGAAAGUUUGCGGCUCAACCGUAAAAUUGCAGUUGAAACUGGCAGUCUUGAGUACAGUAGAGGAGGGCGGAAUUCGUGGGGUAGCGGUGAAAUGCUUAGAUAUCACGAAGAACUCCGAUUGCGAAGGCAGCCUGCUGGACUGUAACUGACGCUGAUGCUCGAAAGUGUGGGUAUCAAACAGGAUUAGAUACCCUGGUAGUCCACACAGUAAACGAUGAAUACUCGCUGUUUGCGAUAUACAGUAAGCGGCCAAGCGAAAGCGUUAAGUAUUCCACCUGGGGAGUACGCCGGCAACGGUGAAACUCAAAUGAAUUGACGGGG